Molecule: long non-coding RNA, 351 nt
Organism: Amblyraja radiata (thorny skate)
Lineage: Eukaryota; Metazoa; Chordata; Chondrichthyes; Rajiformes; Rajidae
Exons: 3
Source: RefSeq, a predicted model, not a curated record
CGACCAGCGAUCACCCUUUCACACUAGUUCUAUGCUAUCCCACUUUCUCAUCUACUCCCAUCACUCUCUGGGCAAUUUUACGGAGGGCAAUUAACCCUCACGCUCGCACAUCUUUGGGACUGUGGAAGUAAAAUUAAUAUCCUUCCUUAUUUAAUUUUGAUUGGAAUUGAACAAGGUAACGAAAGGGUGUAUUGAAUGUGACAAUUGGAAAUCUCUCGCGUGACCAGGUAAAGAAGAAAUUCGUGGGAAACGGCAAAGUAAGAUUAGACAUGUUACUUCCUGUCUGGGAAUGUGUUGAAGGGUGGAUGGUAAAUGUAAACGUGAAAUAGUACAGCUGAUAACAAAGCUUGU